RNAcentral lists this ribosomal RNA (493 nucleotides) under uncultured bacterium. RNAcentral's name for it is "partial 16S ribosomal RNA". It matches the Rfam family "Bacterial small subunit ribosomal RNA", at positions 30 to 523 of the family's 1533-position model. The record is from RNAcentral.
AUUGAACGCUGGCGGCAUGCUUUACACAUGCAAGUCGAACGGUAACAGGUUAAGCUGACGAGUGGCGAACGGGUGAGUAAUGCAUCGGAACGUUCCCGGUCGUGGGGGAUAACAUUCUGAAAGUUACGCUAAUACCGCAUACGAUCUAUGGAUGAAAGCGGGGGAUCGCAAGACCUCGAGCGAUUGGAGCGGCCGAUAUCAGAUUAGGUAGUUGGUGGGGUAAAGGCUUACCAAGCCGGCGAUCUGUAGCUGGUCUGAGAGGACGACCAGCCACACUGAGACUGGGACACGGCCCAGACUCCUACGGGAGGCAGCAGUGGGUAAUUUUGGACAAUGUGCGAAAGCCUGAUCCAGCCAUGCCGCGUGCAGGAUGAAGGUCUUCGGUUUGUAAUCUGCUUUUGUACGGAACGAAAAGGUUUGGGCUAAUAUGCUGAGCUUAUGACGGUACCGUAAGAAUAGGCACCGGCUAACUACGUGCCAGCCGCCGCCGUAA